Molecule: long non-coding RNA, 346 nt
Filed under: Sinocyclocheilus grahami
Lineage: Eukaryota; Metazoa; Chordata; Actinopteri; Cypriniformes; Cyprinidae
Description: lncRNA (ENSSGRG00000020284.1)
Source: RNAcentral
AAGUAUUCUGUCUAUCAUGAGAGUGAUUGCAAGGGAAAAGAUUGCAAGGAACAAGAACACCAUGAGAUGAAUGAUGGCAUGAAGGAGACUGACACCUGCUCCAACUCCUCCAUACAGUGUGACGGCAUUCAAAACUGUCAACAGGCCAUCGAUGAGACAAACUUGAGAUUCAGUGAAGGUGGAGUGUUGCAGGUCAGAACUGCUCAGGAUGGUCGAUUCCUUCCAGUGUGUAAUCAGGGAUUGGAUCAGAGUUAUGCUGACCAGAUCUGCGAACAACUGGGCUUUAGAAGGUCUUAUGCAUCAAAUCCAGUUGAUAGCGAGACAUCAGUAGCUCUUACUGUAGGAC